This 116-nucleotide ribosomal RNA is filed under the name Filobasidium uniguttulatum. RNAcentral's name for it is "partial 26S ribosomal RNA". The record is from RNAcentral. Lineage: Eukaryota; Fungi; Basidiomycota; Tremellomycetes; Filobasidiales; Filobasidiaceae.
UCUGACCUCAAAUCAGGUAGGACUACCCGCUGAACUUAAGCAUAUCAAUAAGCAAGGGAAAAUUAUAGAAUAAUUUUGUCUGGCUUUCCACGACGACAAUAUCAUAUUCCAUAACA